RNAcentral lists this ribosomal RNA (427 nucleotides) under uncultured bacterium. RNAcentral describes it as "bacterial SSU rRNA". It matches the Rfam family "Bacterial small subunit ribosomal RNA", at positions 355 to 774 of the family's 1533-position model. The record is from RNAcentral.
UAGGGAAUCUUCCACAAUGGACGAAAGUCUGAUGGAGCAACGCCGCGUGAGUGAAGAAGGCUUUAGGGUCGUAAAACUCUGUUGUUGGAGAAGAACGUGUGUGAGAGUAACUGUUCACGCAGUGACGGUAUCCAACCAGAAAGCCACGGCUAACUACGUGCCAGCAGCCGCGGUAAUACGUAGGUGGCAAGCGUUGUCCGGAUUUAUUGGGCGUAAAGCGAGCGCAGGCGGUUUCUUAAGUCUGAUGUGAAAGCCUUCGGCUUAACCGGAGAAGUGCAUCGGAAACUGGGAGACUUGAGUGCAGAAGAGGACAGUGGAACUCCAUGUGUAGCGGUGAAAUGCGUAGAUAUAUGGAAGAACACCAGUGGCGAAGGCGGCUGUCUGGUCUGUAACUGACGCUGAGGCUCGAAAGCAUGGGUAGCGAACA